Molecule: long non-coding RNA, 2446 nt
Organism: Pecten maximus
Lineage: Eukaryota; Metazoa; Mollusca; Bivalvia; Pectinida; Pectinidae
Exons: 3
Source: RefSeq, a predicted model, not a curated record
AUUGUUGGAUAGCGAGUGUUUUUUGCAACUUUUAAAAAAUAACUUACGAGUGUGAAAUAAAUUCCAUAUCCAACAACCACUCGUUGUGUAACCUCUAUUUCCAUAAUAGACAAGGUCCAUAUUAGAAAGGGAAAUUGUCAGUACCAACUAUCAAAAGUUGGUAUUGAUAGGUAUCCGGAUUAGACAGAGGCUGGUUUUAGCCAGAUUAUACUGUAUAUUACAUUCAUAGGCAUAUAUAUAACAUGGAAAACACCAAUGUUAAUAUUCUAAUAUCACAGUUCAAAACUUGAUAGAUAUGAAAUAUUAAUUCUUCAUGGAAUGGGUCGCUUACAUAAUGGAAUCAACACAACAAGAAAAGCUGCUAUGGGAUUCACACCUAACUCCUCUAUACACAGUGAGGAGAACCAUGGACCUACAGUUUAUUGAUGAAAUGCAUGUAAUGUUGAGUAUGAUAUAAUUAUAUUGUAAGCUUUGUAGUGUUUCCUCACUUGCCUAUCACACUUAACAUUUCUGUAGGUAAUCACACUUAACAUUUCUGUAGGUAAUCACACUUAACAUUUCUGUAGGUAAUCACACUUAACAUUUCUGUAGGUAAUCACACUUAACAUUUCUGUAGAUAAUCACACUUAACAUUUCUGUAGGUAAUCACACUUAACAUUUCUGUAGAUAAUCACACUUAACAUUUCUGUAGAUAAUCACACUUAACAUUUCUGUAGGUAAUCACACUUAACAUUUCUGUAGGUAAUCGCUUUACAUUUCUGUAGGUAAUCACACUUAACAUUUCUGUAGGUAAUCACUUAACAUUUAUGUAGGUAAUCACACUUAACAUUUCUGUAGGUAAUCACACUUAACAUUUCUGUAGGUAAUCACACUUAACAUUUCUGUAGGUAAUCACACUUAACAUUUCUGUAGGUAAUCACACUUAACAUUUCUGUAGGUAAUCACACUUAACAUUUCUGUAGGUAAUCACACUUAACAUUUCUGUAGAUAAUCACACUUAACAUUUCUGUAGGUAAUCACACUUAACAUUUCUGUAGAUAAUCACACUUAACAUUUCUGUAGGUAAUCACACUUAACAUUUCUGUAGAUAAUCACACUUAACAUUUCUGUAGAUAAUCACACUUAACAUUUCUGUAGGUAAUCACACUUAACAUUUCUGUAGAUAAUCACACUUAACAUUUCUGUAGGUAAUCACACUUAACAUUUCUGUAGAUAAUCACACUUAACAUUUCUGUAGAUAAUCACACUUAACAUUUCUGUAGAUUAUCACACGUAACAUUUCUGUAGGUAAUCACACUUAACAUUUCUGUAGGUAAUCACACGUAACAUUUCUGUAGGUAAUCACACUUAACAUUUCUGUAGGUAAUCACACUUAACAUUGCUUUAGUUUCUAAUCUUGUCAGUUUUGAGAAGAUUUUAUUUAUAUAUAGCUCUAAAAAAAAAUUAAAGUUUAGCACACAAUGUACCAGGUUUGAAGAAAUUUGGUCAAAUAUUACAAUUUCAAUGGGUGAAAAUGGUUUUGACAAAUCACAUAAACCUCUGUGACUUCAUAUGCCAUCCCCCAUUAUGCUUCAAUACCACAAGUUUGUUGCCCUCAACAGCCGAACAUACCAACUUCAAACAAAAUAGGUCAAAUAUUACAGCUAGAUUUUAUAGACCAAAUGGUUUCAACAAACCUGAAACCUUGGUUUUUGCAACCAUGACAACCAUCUCCAAAAACAUUAAAUGCAUUGACAUCCAUUGUCAAGAUCUUGUGAAAGAUAGAGUAGGCAUUCCAUAUACUUCUAAAGUGUACCAGCCAACUUCCACUUUCUGAUGAAUACUUUGUUGAUGGGGAAUAAAAAUAAAUAAAUAAAAAAUAAAAUCAUCAUGAAAACUGAUAAAAUAAGACACUAGAAUGAAAGCUACUAAAGAGCGAAACAUGGUAUCUAUUUCAUCAAGCACAUUAUUUCUGUUCCCAUAACAUUAAUGCUACUACAGGUAAAACAAAAUACUGGUCCCAAAUGAAAAUAUAUUCAACAUAUAUAUUAGCCCUAAGUGGCAUCGUUAUACAAGUUCUUGGUUAAAGUUUCAUUUCCACACAGAAACACAAACCAAAACAUUGGUUCCAGUUAACAAUAUUUUAUAUAACAUGAUAAAGUUUUCAUCGUGUACAGUACAAACAUUUGGUUGCUAGGAAACCACAAAAAUAAUUACACUGAAUAUGGUUAAUACAAUAAUUUAUUGUUUUGUCUGAGGUAUAUAAAGUUUGUCAUAACACGAAACCAUUAAAACUGCUUCAAACCACAAAAUAAAUAUCCAUGAAGAUUCAAUUUUAGAUAGUACUGCCUGAGCCUGCUAUUUAUAGAGAUUGUACUUACACUAAUUUUAGGGUGUACGUUUGUUUUUGUUUGUUUGGUUUGUUUUAUUGUUUAACGUCCUAUUAACAGCCAGGGUCAUUUAAGGA